Molecule: transfer RNA, 75 nt
Filed under: Actinobacteria bacterium 13_1_20CM_4_69_9
Lineage: Bacteria; Bacillati; Actinomycetota
Also listed under: 3 other names
Description: tRNA-Pro
Rfam family: tRNA
About the family: Transfer RNA (tRNA) molecules are approximately 80 nucleotides in length.
Source: RNAcentral
CGGGACGUGGCGCAGCCUGGUUAGCGCGUCGGCUUUGGGAGCCGAAGGUCGCGAGUUCGAAUCUCGCCGUCCCGA